RNAcentral lists this ribosomal RNA (739 nucleotides) under Salmonella enterica subsp. enterica serovar Anatum. Its description in RNAcentral is "bacterial LSU rRNA". It matches the Rfam family "Bacterial large subunit ribosomal RNA", at positions 593 to 1251 of the family's 2925-position model. Lineage: Bacteria; Pseudomonadati; Pseudomonadota; Gammaproteobacteria; Enterobacterales; Enterobacteriaceae. The record is from RNAcentral.
GUGACUGCGUACCUUUUGUAUAAUGGGUCAGCGACUUAUAUUCUGUAGCAAGGUUAACCGAAUAGGGGAGCCGGAGGGAAACCGAGUCUUAAUUGGGCGUUAAGUUGCAGGGUAUAGACCCGAAACCCGGUGAUCUAGCCAUGGGCAGGUUGAAGGUUGGGUAACACUAACUGGAGGACCGAACCGACUAAUGUUGAAAAAUUAGCGGAUGACCUGUGGCUGGGGGUGAAAGGCCAAUCAAACCGGGAGAUAGCUGGUUCUCCCCGAAAGCUAUUUAGGUAGCGCCUCGUGAAUUCAUCUCCGGGGGUAGAGCACUGUUUCGGCUAGGGGGCCAUCCCGGCUUACCAACCCGAUGCAAACUGCGAAUACCGGAGAAUGUUAUCACGGGAGACACACGGCGGGUGCUAACGUCCGUCGUGAAGAGGGAAACAACCCAGACCGCCAGCUAAGGUCCCAAAGUCAUGGUUAAGUGGGAAACGAUGUGGGAAGGCCCAGACAGCCAGGAUGUUGGCUUAGAAGCAGCCAUCAUUUAAAGAAAGCGUAAUAGCUCACUGGUCGAGUCGGCCUGCGCGGAAGAUGUAACGGGGCUAAACCAUGCACCGAAGCUGCGGCAGCGAACGUAUCACUUAAAGCGAUUCAGCGGGUUACGAUUGACGGAGCGAAGCGACGUCAAAGCGUAUACAAAGUCGAGUCGGUUUAAGGAUACGUUCGUUGGGUAGGGGAGCGUUCUGUAAGCCUG